GACGAACGCUGGCGGCGUGCUUAACACAUGCAAGUCGAACGGAGAGGCCCUGCUUUUGUGGGGUGCUCGAGUGGCGAACGGGUGAGUAACACGUGAGUAACCUGCCCUUGACUUUGGGAUAACUUCAGGAAACUGGGGCUAAUACCGGAUAGGAGCUCCUGCUGCAUGGUGGGGGUUGGAAAGUUUCGGCGGUUGGGGAUGGACUCGCGGCUUAUCAGCUUGUUGAUGGGGUAGUGGCUUACCAAGGCUUUGACGGGUAGCCGGCCUGAGAGGGUGACCGGCCACAUUGGGACUGAGAUACGGCCCAGACUCCUACGGGAGGCAGCAGUGGGGAAUAUUGCACAAUGGGCGGAAGCCUGAUGCAGCAACGCCGCGUGCGGGAUGACGGCCUUCGGGUUGUAAACCGCUUUCGCCUGUGACGAAGCGUGAGUGACGGUAAUGGGUAAAGAAGCACCGGCUAACUACGUG
RNAcentral lists this ribosomal RNA (468 nucleotides) under uncultured bacterium. Its description in RNAcentral is "partial 16S ribosomal RNA". It matches the Rfam family "Bacterial small subunit ribosomal RNA", at positions 28 to 507 of the family's 1533-position model. The record is from RNAcentral.